Non-coding RNA from Zonotrichia albicollis (white-throated sparrow), 477 nucleotides. The record is from RefSeq and is a predicted model, not a curated record. NCBI's taxonomy places the organism in Eukaryota, Metazoa, Chordata, Aves, Passeriformes, Passerellidae.
AAGCAGCAGAGGUGUUUCUGCCCAUUGUCCCACCAGACUGGCCCAUGAGGGCUCCUGCUGCCUGGCAGGAGACAGAAGUGAAGGUGUCAGGAAGCCCCCUCAGACCCUGAUGAAACUGAACAUCAAUUUAGCUGCUCUGUGAAAGCAGAAGGAGGUUAUGAGCUCCCUCAGGCUCUCCUCCUGCCAGAUGCUUGAGUCUCAUCACCAUCUCUGGGGCUGCUCCAGGACCUGCUCCGGUGUGCCCAUGAGCCUUUGUACUGAGGAGCCCAAAACUGGACACAGCAUCCCCAAAGGGUCUGACCAGUGAUGAAUAGAGGGUUCAGAAGGUUUGAACAAAGCUUCUAAACCAGCACCCACAAUAAUACUUCAAGUGAGAUGUUAAAACAAAGAAGAAAGCAGAAAAAUAUUAAUAAAUGUUACAUUCUCUUUGGAUAACAAGAGAGGCCACAAAGAGAACACAUACUCCAAAUCACUAGG